GGACUACUGGGGUAUCUAAUCCUGUUUGCUCCCCACGCUUUCGCGUCUCAGCGUCAGUACCGUCCCAGCGAGCUGCCUUCGCCAUUGGUGUUCCUCCUGAUAUCUGCGCAUUUCACCGCUACACCAGGAAUUCCACUCGCCUCUUCCGGACUCUAGCUCGACAGUUUCCACCGGCAUUCCAGGGUUGAGCCCUGGACUUUCACAGCAGACUUAUCGAGCCGCCUACACGCGCUUUACGCCCAAUGAUUCCGGACAACGCUUGCCCCCUACGUAUUACCGCGGCUGCUGGCAC
This 292-nucleotide ribosomal RNA is filed under the name uncultured bacterium. RNAcentral's name for it is "partial 16S ribosomal RNA". The record is from RNAcentral.